RNAcentral lists this ribosomal RNA (497 nucleotides) under uncultured bacterium. Its description in RNAcentral is "partial 16S ribosomal RNA". It matches the Rfam family "Bacterial small subunit ribosomal RNA", at positions 28 to 507 of the family's 1533-position model. The record is from RNAcentral.
GAUGAACGCUGGCGGCGUGCCUAAUACAUGCAAGUCGAGCGAACGGACGAGGAGCUUGCUCCUCUGACGUUAGCGGCGGACGGGUGAGUAACACGUGGAUAACCUACCUAUAAGACUGGGAUAACUUCGGGAAACCGGAGCUAAUACCGGAUAAUAUAUUGAACCGCAUGGUUCAAUAGUGAAAGACGGUUUUGCUGUCACUUAUAGAUGGAUCCGCGCCGCAUUAGCUAGUUGGUAAGGUAACGGCUUACCAAGGCAACGAUGCGUAGCCGACCUGAGAGGGUGAUCGGCCACACUGGAACUGAGACACGGUCCAGACUCCUACGGGAGGCAGCAGUAGGGAAUCUUCCGCAAAGGGCGAAAGCCUGACGGAGCAACGCCGCGUGAGUGAUGAAGGUCUUCGGAUCGUAAAACUCUGUUAUUAGGGAAGAACAAAUGUGUAAGUAACUAUGCACGUCUUGACGGUACCUAAUCAGAAAGCCACGGCUAACUACGUG